This 292-nucleotide ribosomal RNA is filed under the name uncultured bacterium. RNAcentral's name for it is "partial 16S ribosomal RNA". It matches the Rfam family "Bacterial small subunit ribosomal RNA", at positions 505 to 796 of the family's 1533-position model. The record is from RNAcentral.
GUGUCAGCAGCCGCGGUAAGACGUAGGAUGCAAGCGUUGUCCGGAUUUAUUGGGCGUAAAGAGUUCGUAGGUGGUUUGUUAAGUCUGAUGUUAAAGACCGAGGCCCAACCUCGGGACUGCAUUGGAUACUGGCAGACUGGAGUACAGUAGAGGCAAGCGGAAUUCCCAGUGUAGCGGUGAAAUGCGUAGAUAUUGGGAAGAACACCAGUGGCGUAAGCGGCUUGCUGGGCUGUAACUGACACUGAGGAACGAAAGCCAGGGGAGCGAAUGGGAUUAGAUACCCCCGUAGUCC